This is a long non-coding RNA of Rosa chinensis, 781 nucleotides long. RefSeq lists it as uncharacterized. Lineage: Eukaryota; Viridiplantae; Streptophyta; Magnoliopsida; Rosales; Rosaceae. The transcript is spliced from 2 exons. The record is from RefSeq and is a predicted model, not a curated record.
GCCGUCAAUGUCUAAUAGCUGCAUAUCUGGUUCAUUAGACCUUGCCUUUCUGCACUGGCCAGCUGUGUCUUUGGUGGAGGAUAACUUGAAAUUUUUCAAGUGUUAUCUCCCUCUAAAUUGUGGUGUCUUGGGUAAGAUUAUGCAUGUCACAUGAGAAGUAGUCUCAUGUGGAACUCGUGUUGGUUCGUAUUUGGUGAUUUCUAAGCAGUCUUCCCUGCUUUAAUGCCCUAUAAAGAUGGUACAACUUCGCAGCCACCAUUGUGGCAGAUUGGCAGGAGAAUGCCAUGUGAAGCACUUUGAAGAAAAUUUCAGAUUUUAGAAGCAAGGUGGCCUGGUGUAACACAGUUGUCCGUCUGAGUUCAAUUCUCAGUAUCAUGAGAAGCACUGCCACUGCCCACAAGGAGUCUGUAUCACAAGUUUACUACCAAUGCAAUCAGCUCACUUUUGCACAGGUUGCAUUUGGUUUAGAAGAUCUUACCUCAGCAUACAGGAAUAUCAGAAGUAUCAAACAUCCACAAUAUAGGAAAUUCUUGAUUUCGUCAAUGACAUCUGCCGAUCACCUCUUCCUUUCUGGUCUGAGAAUUUCUUUGUUUGAUAAUAAGUUAAGAAUGUAGCAUUCUUAUUAAAGAGAGGUCAAUUCCUAAAUAAGGUUCUCUGUGAUAUACCUUUUACAUUACAAAUGAUAUUUAGUCUCGGGUAAUGGGUAUGUCCUAGGUAAAUUGGUAAAUCAAAUUUGUUGGUCCAAAAAAAUUCCUAGUCCUAUUAUAAAGGAAUUUUUUUA